UAGAGUUUGUCCUGGCUCAGGAUGAACGCUAGCUACAGGCUUAACACAUGCAAGUCGAGGGGCAGCAUGUUGGUUGCUUGCAACCAAUGAUGGCGACCGGCGCACGGGUGCGUAACAGGUGUGCAAUCUGUCCUAUACCAAGGGAUAGCCCGCUGAAAGGCGGAUUAAAACUUUAUGUGAGACGAAGCCGCAUGACUUUGUUUUGAAACGCGAGGGUAUAGGUUGAGCACGCUUCUGAUUAGGUAGUUGGUGAGGUAACGGCCCACCAAGCCGACGAUCAGUAGGGGUUCUGAGAGGAAGGUCCCCCACAUUGGAACUGAGACACGGUCCAAACUCCUACGGGAGGCAGCAGUGAGGAAUAUUGGUCAAUGGACGAGAGUCUGAACCAGCCAAGUCGCGUGAAAGGAUGAAGGUUCUAUGGAUUGUAAACUUCUUUUGUCCGAGGGUAAAGUGAGCCACGUGUGGUUUAUUGCAAGUAUCGGACGAUAAGCAUCGGCUAACUCCGUGCCAGCAGCCGCGGUAAUACGGAGGAUGCGAGCGUUAUCCGGAUUUAUUGG
RNAcentral lists this ribosomal RNA (557 nucleotides) under uncultured bacterium. RNAcentral describes it as "bacterial SSU rRNA". It matches the Rfam family "Bacterial small subunit ribosomal RNA", at positions 1 to 557 of the family's 1533-position model. The record is from RNAcentral.